RNAcentral lists this ribosomal RNA (1643 nucleotides) under marine metagenome. RNAcentral describes it as "bacterial LSU rRNA". It matches the Rfam family "Bacterial large subunit ribosomal RNA", at positions 554 to 2311 of the family's 2925-position model. The record is from RNAcentral.
AACUGAACGCCUACAAUCAGUAGGAGCCUCUUUAGAGGUGACUGCGUACCUUUUGUAUAAUGGGUCAGAGACUUAAUCUUAUGUGCAAGCUUAAGCCGUUAGGUGUAGGCGUAGCGAAAGCGAGUUUUAAAAGAGCGAAUAGUUCAUAGGAUUAGACCCGAAACCGAGUGAUCUAGCUAUGGGCAGGUUGAAGGCACGGUAAUACGUGCUGGAGGACCGAACCCACGUAUGUUGAAAAAUGCGGGGAUGACCUGUGGCUAGGGGUGAAAGGCCAAGCAAACUCGGAAAUAGCUGGUUCUCCGCGAAAACUAUUUAGGUAGUGCGUUGCGAUGAGGUUGCCGGGGGUAGAGCACUGGAUAGAGAAUGGGGGAGCGAUCCUUACUGACUCUAACCAAACUCCGAAUACCGGUCAACUAUGCGCAGCAGACAGACUAUGGGUGCUAAGGUCCAUAGUCGAAAGGGAAACAGCCCAGACCACCAGUUAAGGUCCCCAAGUUAUGGUUAAGUGGGAAAGGGAGUAGAAAGUCCAAUACAACCAGGAGGUUGGCUUAGAAGCAGCCAUUCCUUUAAAGAAAGCGUAACAGCUCACUGGUCUAAUUAAGUCUUUCCGCACCGAAGAUGUAUCGGGGCUAAAACCAUACACCGAAACUGUGGACACUCUUUUGAGUGUGGUAGCGGAGCGUUCCGUAAGCCGUUGAAGUCGUGUUGUAAAGCAUGAUGGAGGUAUCGGAAGCGAGAAUUCUGACAUGAGUAGCGAUUAAUAGUGCGAGAAACACUAUCGCCGUAUAUCCAAGGGUUCCUGCGCAAGGUUAUUCCACGCAGGGUAAGCCGGCCCCUAAGGCGAGGGCGAAAGCCGUAGCCGAUGGGAACCAGAUUAAUAUUUCUGGGCCUGCUAGUAGUGACGAAUGUUGAAUGUUGUAAUUUCUUAUUGGAUUGAAAUUGCAGCUAAGAUGUUCCAGGAAAUAGCUCUAGCAUAUAGACCGUACCCCAAACCGACACAGGUGGAUAAGUAGAGCAUACUAAGGCGUUUGAGAGAACGAUGUUGAAGGAACUCGGCAAAUUACUCUCGUAACUUCGGGAUAAGAGAGCCUUAAUCAUGGGCAACCAUUUUUAAGGGGCACAAACUAGGGGGUAGCGACUGUUUACUAAAAACACAGGGCUCUGCAAAGUCUUCAAGACGAAGUAUAGGGUCUGACGCCUGCCCGGUGCCGGAAGGUUAAAGUGAUGUGUGCAAGCAUUGAUCUGAAGCCCCGGUAAACGGCGGCCGUAACUAUAACGGUCCUAAGGUAGCGAAAUUCCUUGUCGGGUAAGUUCCGACCCGCAUGAAUGGCGUAACGACUUCCCCACUGUCUCCAACAUUGACUCAGCGAAAUUGAACUCUCCGUGAAGAUGCGGAGUACCCGUGGUUAGACGGAAAGACCCCGUGCACCUUUACUAUAGCUUCGUAGUGGUAUUAGUAAAUUGUUGUGUAGGAUAGGUGGGAGACUUUGAAGCAAGAGCGUCAGCUUUUGUGGAGUCGUCCUUGAAAUACCACCCUACAAUUUAUUGAUAUCUAACCAUGUUCCAUGAACCUGGAACUGGGACCCUGCGUGGUGGGUAGUUUGACUGGGGCGGUCGCCUCCUAAAGAGUAACGGAGGCGCGC